GAUGAACGCUGGCGGCGUGCCUAAUACAUGCAAGUCGAGCGAACAGACGAGGAGCUUGCUCCUCUGACGUUAGCGGCGGACGGGUGAGUAACACGUGGAUAACCUACCUAUAAGACUGGGAUAACUUCGGGAAACAGGAGCUAAUACCGGAUAAUAUAUUGAACCGCAUGGUUCAAUAGUGAAAGACGGUUUUGCUGUCACUUAUAGAUGGAUCCGCGCCGCAUUAGCUAGUUGGUAAGGUAACGGCUUACCAAGGCAACGAUGCGUAGCCGACCUGAGAGGGUGAUCGGCCACACUGGAACUGAGACACGGUCCAGACUCCUACGGGAGGCAGCAGUAGGGAAUCUUCCGCAAUGGGCGAAAGCCUGACGGAGCAACGCCGCGUGAGUGAUGAAGGUCUUCGGAUCGUAAAACUCUGUUAUUAGGGAAGAACAAAUGUGUAAGUAACUAUGCACGUCUUGACGGUACCUAAUCAGAAAGCCACGGCUAACUACGU
RNAcentral lists this ribosomal RNA (496 nucleotides) under uncultured bacterium. RNAcentral describes it as "partial 16S ribosomal RNA". It matches the Rfam family "Bacterial small subunit ribosomal RNA", at positions 28 to 506 of the family's 1533-position model. The record is from RNAcentral.